Molecule: transfer RNA, 69 nt
Filed under: Nycticorax nycticorax (black-crowned night-heron)
Lineage: Eukaryota; Metazoa; Chordata; Aves; Pelecaniformes; Ardeidae
Description: tRNA-Phe
Rfam family: tRNA
About the family: Transfer RNA (tRNA) molecules are approximately 80 nucleotides in length.
Source: RNAcentral
GUCCUUGUAGCUUAAUAUUAAAGCAUAGCACUGAAGAUGCUAAGAUGGCUACCUACAUUCCCAAGGACA